This 1069-nucleotide ribosomal RNA is filed under the name Jonesia quinghaiensis. RNAcentral's name for it is "bacterial SSU rRNA". It matches the Rfam family "Bacterial small subunit ribosomal RNA", at positions 33 to 1098 of the family's 1533-position model. Lineage: Bacteria; Bacillati; Actinomycetota; Actinomycetes; Micrococcales; Jonesiaceae. The record is from RNAcentral.
ACGCUGGCGGCGUGCUUAACACAUGCAAGUCGAACGAUGAUGACUGAAGCUUGCUUUGGUUUGAUUAGUGGCGAACGGGUGAGUAACACGUGAGUAACCUGCCCCUCACUUCGGGAUAACCAUUGGAAACGGUGGCUAAUACUGGAUAUGACACAUGGCCGCAUGGUCUGUGUGUGGAAAGAACUUUGGUGGGGGAUGGGCUCGCGGCCUAUCAGCUUGUUGGUGGGGUGAUGGCCUACCAAGGCUUUGACGGGUAGCCGGCCUGAGAGGGCGACCGGCCACACUGGGACUGAGACACGGCCCAGACUCCUACGGGAGGCAGCAGUGGGGAAUAUUGCACAAUGGGGGAAACCCUGAUGCAGCGACGCCGCGUGGGGGAUGAAGGCCUUCGGGUUGUAAACCCCUUUCAGUAGGGAACAAGGCCAUGAUUUUUGUUGUGGUUGAGGGUACUUGCAGAAGAAGCGCCGGCUAACUACGUGCCAGCAGCCGCGGUAAUACGUAGGGCGCAAGCGUUGUCCGGAAUUAUUGGGCGUAAAGAGCUCGUAGGCGGUUUGUCGCGUCUGCCGUGAAAACCCGAUGCUUAACAUCGGGCUUGCGGUGGGUACGGGCAGGCUAGAGUGCGGUAGGGGUGACUGGAAUUCCUGGUGUAGCGGUGGAAUGCGCAGAUAUCAGGAGGAACACCGAUGGCGAAGGCAGGUCACUGGGCCGUUACUGACGCUGAGGAGCGAAAGCAUGGGGAGCGAACAGGAUUAGAUACCCUGGUAGUCCAUGCCGUAAACGUUGGGCACUAGGUGUGGGGAUUGUUCCACGAUUCCUGUACCGUAGCUAACGCAUUAAGUGCCCCGCCUGGGGAGUACGGCCGCAAGGCUAAAACUCAAAGGAAUUGACGGGGGCCCGCACAAGCGGCGGAGCAUGCGGAUUAAUUCGAUGCAACGCGAAGAACCUUACCAAGGCUUGACAUACACCGGAACUGCUCAGAGAUGGGUAGGUCUUCGGACUGGUGUACAGGUGGUGCAUGGUUGUCGUCAGCUCGUGUCGUGAGAUGUUGGGUUAAGUCCCGCAACGAGCG